RNAcentral lists this non-coding RNA (148 nucleotides) under Gorilla gorilla gorilla (western lowland gorilla). The record is from Rfam by way of RNAcentral. Lineage: Eukaryota; Metazoa; Chordata; Mammalia; Primates; Hominidae.
GCCAGGCAUGGUGGCGGGCGCCUGUAAUCCCAGCUACUCGGGAGGCUAAGGCAGGAGAAUCGCUUGAACCCGGGAGGCUGAAGUUGCAGUGAGCCAAGAUUGUGCCACUGAACUGCAGCCUGGGUGACAGAGUGAGACUCCGUCUCAA